RNAcentral lists this unclassified non-coding RNA (375 nucleotides) under uncultured Actinomycetes bacterium. RNAcentral describes it as "uncultured actinobacterium contains 16S-23S intergenic spacer region". Lineage: Bacteria; Bacillati; Actinomycetota; Actinomycetes. The record is from RNAcentral.
UCCGAGUUGACCCCGGCAGUCUCCUAUGAGUCCCCACCAUUACGUGCUGGCAACAUAGGACGAGGGUUGCGCUCGUUGCGGGACUUAACCCAACAUCUCACGACACGAGCUGACGACAGCCAUGCACCACCUGUGCAAGGCCCUUACGGACCCCAUAUCUCUAUGAGAUUUCCCUGCAUGUCAAGCCCAGGUAAGGUUCUUCGCGUUGCAUCGAAUUAAGCCACAUGCUCCGCCGCUUGUGCGGGCCCCCGUCAAUUUCUUUGAGUUUUAACCUUGCGGCCGUACUCCCCAGGCGGGAUAUUUAAUGCGUUAGCGUCGGCACUGCGAGGGUUAAACUCGCGACACCUAAUAUCCAUCGUUUAGGGCGUGGACUAC